RNAcentral lists this ribosomal RNA (548 nucleotides) under uncultured bacterium. RNAcentral's name for it is "bacterial SSU rRNA". It matches the Rfam family "Bacterial small subunit ribosomal RNA", at positions 355 to 896 of the family's 1533-position model. The record is from RNAcentral.
UGGGGAAUAUUGCGCGAUGGGGGGAACCCUGACGCAGCCAUGCCGCGUGAAUGAAGAAGGCCUUAGGGUUGUAAAGUUCUUUCGGUAUUGAGGAAGGUUGAUGUGUUAAUAGCACAUCAAAUUGACGUUAAAUACAGAAGAAGCACCGGCUAACUCCGUGCCAGCAGCCGCGGUAAUACGGAGGGUGCGAGCGUUAAUCGGAAUAACUGGGCGUAAAGGGCACGCAGGCGGUUAUUUAAGUGAGGUGUGAAAGCCCCGGGCUUAACCUGGGAAUUGCAUUUCAGACUGGGUAACUAAUAGAGUACUUUAGGGAGGGGUAGAAUUCCACGUGUAGCGGUGAAAUGCGUAGAGAUGUGGGGAGAAUACCGAAGGCGAAGGCAGCCCCUUGGGAAUGUACUGACGCUCGUGGGAAACGGUGGGGAGCAAACAGGAUUAGAUACCCUGGUAGUCCACGCUGUAAACGCUGUCGAUUUGGGGGUUGGGGUUUAACUCUGGCGCCCGUAGCUACGUGAUAAAUCGACCGCCUGGGGAGUACGGCCGCAAGGUUA